GGCCACAAUCGUUAAUUUCUAUGC
This 24-nucleotide non-coding RNA is filed under the name Arabidopsis thaliana (thale cress). Lineage: Eukaryota; Viridiplantae; Streptophyta; Magnoliopsida; Brassicales; Brassicaceae. The record is from RNAcentral.